This 597-nucleotide long non-coding RNA is filed under the name Canis lupus dingo (dingo). RNAcentral describes it as "lncRNA (ENSCAFG00020000508.1)". The record is from RNAcentral. Lineage: Eukaryota; Metazoa; Chordata; Mammalia; Carnivora; Canidae.
CACCAAUGGAGCACGUUGAGAAGCAAUUUCUCUCCCAGAAGCACCAAAGCCUUUUAAGUAGUUCAGGCUUCACUGUUCACAUCCAGUUGCCAAAAAGCAAAUGAAUUGCCUGAUUUGAAAGACAUUUGUUUUUCUUUUUCUUUUUUUUUCUUUCUUUCUUUUUUUUUUUUUUUUUUGGCAGUCAGGAUGAUCCCCUUGUUUUCCCCAUAAUCAGGCCCUGCAGAACUACAUGCCUGUACACUUGACAAUGUAAAAGAAACAAAGCAUGGUUUUCAGGUGACCCGUUUGCCUCAAUCUGCUUGCAGACUGUCCCAAGGGGGUCUAUGGAGCUGGCUGCUCUUCAGAAUGUCAGUGUGUGGAGGAGAACACCCUGGAAUGCAGUGCCAAAAAUGGCACUUGCACCUGCAAAUCUGGUUACCAAGGCAACAGAUGCCAGAAAGCCUGUUCUGCUGGCCUCUGGGGACUGGAGUGCCAGCUCUCCUGUGGACCCUGUGAGAAUGAAAGUCAGUGCAACAAAAGAACUGGAAACUUCAAUUGUCCUCCUGGUUACACAGGAAAAGCCUGUACCACACGUAAGUCAUUAACUUAGACAGAAUA